This 970-nucleotide ribosomal RNA is filed under the name Bacillus sp. (in: firmicutes). Its description in RNAcentral is "bacterial SSU rRNA". It matches the Rfam family "Bacterial small subunit ribosomal RNA", at positions 72 to 1018 of the family's 1533-position model. Lineage: Bacteria; Bacillati; Bacillota; Bacilli; Caryophanales; Bacillaceae. The record is from RNAcentral.
AUGGGAGCUUGCUCCCUGAUGUUAGCGGCGGACGGGUGAGUAACACGUGGGUAACCUGCCUGUAAGACUGGGAUAACUCCGGGAAACCGGGGCUAAUACCGGAUGCUUGUUUGAACCGCAUGGUUCAAACAUAAAAGGUGGCUUCGGCUACCACUUACAGAUGGACCCGCGGCGCAUUAGCUAGUUGGUGAGGUAAUGGCUCACCAAGGCAACGAUGCGUAGCCGACCUGAGAGGGUGAUCGGCCACACUGGGACUGAGACACGGCCCAGACUCCUACGGGAGGCAGCAGUAGGGAAUCUUCCGCAAUGGACGAAAGUCUGACGGAGCAACGCCGCGUGAGUGAUGAAGGUUUUCGGAUCGUAAAGCUCUGUUGUUAGGGAAGAACAAGUACCGUUCGAAUAGGGCGGUACCUUGACGGUACCUAACCAGAAAGCCACGGCUAACUACGUGCCAGCAGCCGCGGUAAUACGUAGGUGGCAAGCGUUGUCCGGAAUUAUUGGGCGUAAAGGGCUCGCAGGCGGUUCCUUAAGUCUGAUGUGAAAGCCCCCGGCUCAACCGGGGAGGGUCAUUGGAAACUGGGGAACUUGAGUGCAGAAGAGGAGAGUGGAAUUCCACGUGUAGCGGUGAAAUGCGUAGAGAUGUGGAGGAACACCAGUGGCGAAGGCGACUCUCUGGUCUGUAACUGACGCUGAGGAGCGAAAGCGUGGGGAGCGAACAGGAUUAGAUACCCUGGUAGUCCACGCCGUAAACGAUGAGUGCUAAGUGUUUAGGGGGUUUCCGCCCCUUAGUGCUGCAGCUAACGCAUUAAGCACUCCGCCUGGGGGAGUACGGUCGCAAGACUGAAACUCAAAGGAAUUGACGGGGGGCCCGCACAAGCGGUGGAAGCAUGUGGUUUUAAUUCGAAGCAACGCGAAAGAACCUUACCAGGUCUUGACAUCCUCUGACAAUCCUAGAAGAUAGGACGUCCCC